Molecule: ribosomal RNA, 435 nt
Filed under: uncultured bacterium
Lineage: Bacteria
Description: partial 16S ribosomal RNA
Rfam family: Bacterial small subunit ribosomal RNA
Source: RNAcentral
AGCGAACGCUGGCGGCAGGCUUAACACAUGCAAGUCGAGCGGGCAUAGCAAUAUGUCCGCGGCAGACGGGUGAGUAACGCGUGGGAACGUACCUUUUGGUUCGGAACAACUGAGGGAAACUUCAGCUAAUACCGGAUAAGCCCUUACGGGGAAAGAUUUAUCGCCGAAAGAUCGGCCCGCGUCUGAUUAGCUAGUUGGUGAGGUAAUGGCACACCAAGGCGACGAUCAGUAGCUGGUCUGAGAGGAUGAUCAGCCACAUUGGGACUGAGACACGGCCCAAACUCCUACGGGAGGCAGCAGUGGGGAAUAUUGGACAAUGGGCGCAAGCCUGAUCCAGCCAUGCCGCGUGAGUGAUGAAGGCCCUAGGGUUGUAAAGCUCUUUUGUGCGGGAAGAUAAUGACGGUACCGCAAGAAUAAGCCCCGGCUAACUUCGUG